GUACUGUAUUUUCGUCUGUUUGGCUUUAUUCGUUUUCCGUGAUUUCAGCUGCGUCCACGUGUUCAAGAAAAGUAUACGCUGCAUCUUUGCGGAACUAAAUGUCAAGUCCGUAACGUAUGAACAAUGGGCGUUGUUAGUGACCACAUUACAAUUGAUAUUCACGACAUCUACCGUGUUUAUGGUUGAAAUUUACGGUAGGAGAAAACUCUUGUUGAUCUCGAGUCUCGGUAUGCUCUUAACGGCUACAGGUCUAGAGCUGUUUAUUUUCAACAGUGACGCAAUCACCUCCACAGAAAUACGUCAUGUAUGCAUUAUGUCCGUGUUACUUUUAUACAUUUUAUUUUUUGCUCAAGGUUUCAGCUCAAUACCUUGGACUAUGCCAUUCAAAAUCAUUCAGAAAAAUAUCAGGAAUUAUACUUUAGGUUUCAUAAUCAGC
Melanaphis sacchari is the source of this 436-nucleotide long non-coding RNA. RefSeq lists it as uncharacterized. The record is from RefSeq and is a predicted model, not a curated record. The transcript has 3 exons. Lineage: Eukaryota; Metazoa; Arthropoda; Insecta; Hemiptera; Aphididae.